Non-coding RNA from Homarus americanus (American lobster), 73 nucleotides. The record is from the annotation of a RefSeq genome assembly. NCBI's taxonomy places the organism in Eukaryota, Metazoa, Arthropoda, Malacostraca, Decapoda, Nephropidae.
GCCUCCAUAGCUCAGUGGUUAGAGCGCUGGUCUAGUAAACCAGAGGUCAAGGGUUCGAUUCCCUUUGGAGGCA